GACGAACGCUGGCGGCGUGCUUAAUACAUGCAAGUCGAACGAUGUGGCGAACGGGUGAGUAACGUGUAAUCAACUCGCCAUUCAGAGGGGGACAACAGGUGGACACGACUGCUAAUACCGUAUACUGAAGGAGGGGAGUGCGUUGGAUUGGCUAUGUGGAGGGGUAACGGCCCACCACGGCGAUGAUCCGUAACGGGUCUGAGAGGAUGAUCGGUCACACUGGAACUGAGACACGGUCCAGACUCCUACGGGAGGCAGCAGUGGGGAAUAUUGGACAAUGGGCGAAAGCCUGAUCCAGCCAUGCCGCGUGUGUGAAGAAGGUCUUCGGAUUGUAAAGCACUUUAAGUUGGGAGGCGUUACCAACAGAAUAAGCACCGGCUAACUUCGUGCCAGCAGCCGCGGUAAUUC
Molecule: ribosomal RNA, 408 nt
Filed under: uncultured bacterium
Lineage: Bacteria
Description: partial 16S ribosomal RNA
Rfam family: Bacterial small subunit ribosomal RNA
Source: RNAcentral